ACUAUGAUUUGAACGCACAUCCUAACUUUUUUUUUUGACAUUUGUCAUCUGUCAUCUGUCAAAUUAUCAAUCUAUUGACACUGACAGGUCGGCUUUCAUAAUUAUUUGUUAAAUUAAAUUUGUUUAUUGUUUUAUUGAAUUCAACGCAGUGAUAUUUGCCUACGGAUACCAACGCCAAGGCCCACGGAUGGAGAGGUCGCCAGUGGUGCCUUAAUAAGUGGAAGGAACUAGCCAAGCUCAAUAGCGAAGGGACGGGACAAGGAGUGAUAAGCAAAGGAGAAAAUUAAACAUGAAACAUAACAUUAAACAUAUAAGGUUGUCAUGACAGAUUAUCCCCUCGUCUCUCAAUGAUUUCCUAAUACCUAGGUACUCUUUAAAAAGCAUUAACUAGUUACCUUGAGAUAAAGCAUCGGCAGUACUCAUGUUUCUUUGAAAUAGUUAGUAGUUAUAUUCUUAUUCUUAAUGAUGCAAUUAUCAUUUGUUUUGCAGGUAUGGAGUGAUUAUAAGAAUAAAUACAAAGAGAAAAUGCUCCCAAAUUGCCUAAGGGGGCACAGUGAAUGGUUGAUGGUUCAGCCCUAAAAUGGAUAUGUCAGAUUGAAAGCUGCCGGUGAAUGCUAUAUAAUUGAUGUGAUGAGAUAUAGAAUCAGCAUGGAACAUGUGCCAGGUACGAGGAGCCAGCCCAAUCCAGCUAUACCAGCGUAUCCUGUACCCAGCAUCACGGACCAGGCCACCGCCUGCAAGUGCACCCCCGUGAAGGCAUAAAUUAUAAGUGUACAUUUUGAUUGCUCGGUGAAGAAUACAUUUAGGAGAAAAGAUAAAUCAUACAUUUUGUUAUACUAUGCUGAUGUUUGCAAAUGUUACAUGAUACUACCUACUAAGAUAAAUAUGUUUUUUUAGUAAAAUAAAGAAUAAAAAACUGUUAAACAGAA
This is a non-coding RNA of Plutella xylostella (diamondback moth), 929 nucleotides long. The record is from RefSeq and is a predicted model, not a curated record. NCBI's taxonomy places the organism in Eukaryota, Metazoa, Arthropoda, Insecta, Lepidoptera, Plutellidae.